This 433-nucleotide ribosomal RNA is filed under the name uncultured bacterium. Its description in RNAcentral is "partial 16S ribosomal RNA". It matches the Rfam family "Bacterial small subunit ribosomal RNA", at positions 29 to 507 of the family's 1533-position model. The record is from RNAcentral.
AGCGAACGCUGGCGGCAGGCCUAACACAUGCAAGUCGAACGGAUCCUUCGGGAUUAGUGGCGGACGGGUGAGUAACACGUGGGAACGUGCCCUUUGGUUCGGAACAACUCAGGGAAACUUGAGCUAAUACCGGAUGUGCCCUUCGGGGGAAAGAUUUAUCGCCAUUGGAGCGGCCCGCGUCUGAUUAGCUAGUUGGUGAGGUAACGGCCCACCAAGGCGACGAUCAGUAGCUGGUCUGAGAGGAUGAUCAGCCACACUGGGACUGAGACACGGCCCAGACUCCUACGGGAGGCAGCAGUGGGGAAUCUUGCGCAAUGGGCGAAAACCUGACGCAGCCAUGCCGCGUGAAUGAUGAAGGUCUUAGGAUUGUAAAAUUCUUUCAGCGGGGACGAUAAUGACGGUACCCGCAGAAGAAGCUCCGGCUAACUUCGUG